RNAcentral lists this small RNA (731 nucleotides) under Pongo abelii (Sumatran orangutan). RNAcentral's name for it is "retained intron". Lineage: Eukaryota; Metazoa; Chordata; Mammalia; Primates; Hominidae. The record is from RNAcentral.
UGCCGUGCUACACUUUGUUUGUUGUUUGUCUUUGCUCACUUGAAUGUAGCUUGUUCACUGCUGUAUCCUCAGUAUCUCUAAUGGGGCCUUGCAGAAAGUAGUUCCUCAAAUAUUUAUGUGAGUCUCACCUUGUCAUCCAGGUCAAGAGACAAUCGGACACUGUCUGAAGAAACGGUCAAAACAAUAUGCUGUAUUUCAGAAUUAUAUCCUGAAAUUAUAUCCCAAAAGGAGUCAGUUAGCAUGUGUGGGUGACAUCAGGGAGUGUUUUCUGGAGGGAAGGGCAGGUGCAGGAAGGGUAGGAUGAGGGCUAGGUGAGGAUAGGGUGGACUCAGGCCUUGUUCUCUUCCGUAGGUCUUUACUCACCUGCAGACCUGUGGCCCACUCCGCCGGUAUGUGUGACAAGCAGCUUAAACUGCACCCUGGAGAACGGCGUGCCUUGUGUGAUUCAGGAGCCAGCCCCGGUUCAUAAUAGAGACAGAGUCUUGCUCUGUCACCUAGGCUGGAGCGCAGUGGUACAAUUAUAGCUCACUGCAGCCUUGAACUCCUGGGUUCAGGCGAUUCUCCUGCCUCAGCCUCUCAAGUAACUGGGACUACAGUUUCAUUGAUUGGAGUGCAACAUGCGAAGGCCAGUUUUCCAGCGCAUACUGUCCAUUGGAAUUGAACGAUUACAAUGCCUUUCCAGAAGGUAAGGGCUCUUCAGACAAUCCCAACGCCAUUCUUUUAUUCUUAGA